GGUUAAUCCAUCAUAAGCCAAAAGUAGGCAAUAAAGAAAAAAAGAGAGUUUUCAGCCUUAUGCCAUCUUUUUUUUAAUACCUUUAUAAAAAGGAAUUCUUCAUUCCUUUUUUAAUUUAUCUGGAGACCUGGAGAUCCUCUUACCAUAGAGAUGUGUAGGGAUUAACCAGCCCACAGUGAAAGGAAGUAGAAACCAUAGAAAAAGGAAGGAGAAACCAUAGAGAUAGGAAGGAGACACCAUAGAGAUAGGAAGGAGAAACCAUAGAGACAGGAAGUGAGGUAGGAAAAGGGGAUAAAGCAGCUGGCCUCAGUUGGUCAGUCUGUCAGUUGCUGAUAGGACUGGGAGUUGUGAAUGAAUUUCAUUAUUUUUUCUACAUUAAUCAGAUAAUUUUUGGAUAAUUUGAUUGGUAUGGCACUGAAUAGAGCUGGGUCGAUUAAAUCUCUGGGUCAAAUGAACAUUUGGUUUGGACAUUUUUAUGGACAAUUUCAGCUACUUUCCAGAAUGAUUGGAUCAAUGUCUAGCCAAGAGUAGGUAAGUUUUCCUACCUUUCCACAACCUUUCAAAAAUCAACUAUGCUCUAAUUUUUGACAUUUGUUUCUUAGCAAUCUUCAGGGUAUGAGAUAAGCCCUUAGGAUCAUUUUAAUUUACAUUAAUCAAUCAGUCAAUUAAUUAGUGAUAUGUUUAAGUUUUUCAUAU
Non-coding RNA from Monodelphis domestica (gray short-tailed opossum), 696 nucleotides. The record is from RefSeq and is a predicted model, not a curated record. Lineage: Eukaryota; Metazoa; Chordata; Mammalia; Didelphimorphia; Didelphidae.